Molecule: ribosomal RNA, 223 nt
Filed under: uncultured bacterium
Lineage: Bacteria
Description: partial 16S ribosomal RNA
Rfam family: Bacterial small subunit ribosomal RNA
Source: RNAcentral
ACGCUCGACACCUACGGGAAGCAGCAGUAGGGAAUUUUCGUCAAUGGGGGGAACCCUGAACGAGCAAUGCCGCGUGAGUGAAGAAGGUCUUCGGAUCGUAAAGCUCUGUUGUAAGAGAAAAAGGGCGCAUAUAGGAAAUGAUAUGCGAUUGAUGGUAUCUUACCAGAAAGCCACGGCUAACUACGUGCUAGCAGCCGCGGUAAUCUGAGCGGGCUGGCAAGGC